This 449-nucleotide ribosomal RNA is filed under the name uncultured bacterium. RNAcentral's name for it is "partial 16S ribosomal RNA". It matches the Rfam family "Bacterial small subunit ribosomal RNA", at positions 29 to 523 of the family's 1533-position model. The record is from RNAcentral.
AGCGAACGCUGGCGGCAGGCCUAACACAUGCAAGUCGAACGAACUCUUCGGAGUUAGUGGCGGACGGGUGAGUAACACGUGGGAACGUGCCUUUAGGUUCGGAAUAACUCAGGGAAACAUGUGCUAAUACCGAAUGUGCCCUUCGGGGGAAAGAUUUAUCGCCUUUAGAGCGGCCCGCGUCUGAUUAGCUAGUUGGUGAGGUAAAGGCUCACCAAGGCGACGAUCAGUAGCCGGUAUGAGAGGAUGAUCAGCCACAUUGGGACUGAGACACGGCCCAAACUCCUACGGGAGGGAGCAGUGGGGAAUCUUGCGCAAUGGGCGAAAGCCUGACGCAGCCAUGCCGCGUGAAUGAUGAAGGUCUUGGGAUUGUAAAAUUCUUUCACCGGGGGCGAUAAUGACGGUACCCGGAGAAGAAGCACCGGCUAACUUCGUGCCAGCAGCCGCAGUAA